RNAcentral lists this ribosomal RNA (292 nucleotides) under uncultured bacterium. Its description in RNAcentral is "partial 16S ribosomal RNA". It matches the Rfam family "Bacterial small subunit ribosomal RNA", at positions 505 to 796 of the family's 1533-position model. The record is from RNAcentral.
GUGCCAGCCGCCGCGGUAAUACGGAGGGUGCGAGCGUUAAUCGGAAUUACUGGGCGUAAAGCGUACGUAGGCGGCCUGUUAAGCAAGAUGUGAAAUCCCCGGGCUCAACCUGGGAAUGGCAUUUUGAACUGGCAGGCUCGAGUUCUGAAGAGGGUGGUAGAAUUUCCUGUGUAGCGGUGAAAUGCGUAGAUAUAGGAAGGAAUACCGGUGGCGAAGGCGGCCACCUGGUCAGAAACUGACGCUGAGGUACGAAAGCGUGGGGAGCAAACAGGAUUAGAAACCCGUGUAGUCC